RNAcentral lists this long non-coding RNA (614 nucleotides) under Vulpes vulpes (red fox). RNAcentral's name for it is "lncRNA (ENSVVUG00000007645.1)". The record is from RNAcentral. Lineage: Eukaryota; Metazoa; Chordata; Mammalia; Carnivora; Canidae.
GAGGAUGGAAGGGAAGGCAAGGAGGAACUAUGUGCUGGGAAAACUAUAAACAGGAUUCGGCUGCUGCCCCAAGAAGGCCUUGCUGCUGCUGAGGCAAAGCAGCACUUUUGGGAUGAUGCUUUUAGGAACUAGGAACAGACAAAAUGCAAUCCAGAGAAGCACUUCCCCUUUAGACAAAUCCUGACAUGCAGGCAUCCUGGAGACCAGCCCUACCUCUGCUAAUUCUAUGCCUCCAGGGCUCACAAAGAAGACUGCAUGACACAGACUCUCAGCAAGCAUCUGUGAAGACUUGUUUGAUCUGCUAUUCAUCUAUCUAUCAGCACUCCACACUCAGAGGGAAAAUUUUCAAUAGAAUUUCCUUUCUCAUUAAUAAGUCGAACAUGUUCCUCCUUUGAGACUACAGUUGCCAUCAUACCCUACACAAUAGCCAUAUAAGUAAGGGAUCUGGGGGCACCAAGCUGGGCCAAAUUGUAUCCAGAGAGGCAGCAGAUAAUUCCCAGUGAUGUUCCGAGCAAACAGGUAAAAAGUUCCAAGGUCAAUUUUUUUUAACGUAUCUCUCCAUGUCUGUUUAUGGUUUCCUCUCUUGUUCUUCUAGGUCUAUGAAUGAUUCUAUA